AACAAUGAGGACCCAUCGCGCCGUCAGACACCACCACUACCUAAACCUCCAGCGAACAGCCACGGGCCCUCCGCCCAACUGCCGCUGAUUCCACACCGAUUAUCUAGGUUUCUUUCAGCCCUGGAGAUUAAUGGAGUAUUUCAUGGAUUAAGAGAAUGAGUCUACGUGUGGUCCAGGUUUAGUCAAGGCGUGGUCAGAAUUCAGAAAUUGUCUCGGGUUUAUUCAAUUGGUGUGGUCAGAAAUUGUCUCGACAACUAUAGGUAUUACAUGAAAGUAAAUUGAGCAUUUUUUUGUUAAUUCUUGAUCGAUUAUGAUGGAUUUAAUUUUUUGUUUAAUUUUGUUUGGUUUUUUGCUUAAAUUUUUCUCUUUUGUACAUAUAGCCUAUAGGAGUGGAUGUUCUGUUGAAUUGGUGUUGGGGAAAUAUGUAAUCUUUUUGGCAUUGGUAAUUUGUUAUUAGUAAUUUAUUUGAAACUUUUGUUACAACAAUUUACACUGUAUCCUAAUCAUUAAGCCUUCCAUUUACUUUAAACCCAGAAACGAUAGUAUGUAUUUAGCUGCUACAAGUAAAUAAUCAUGACUUCACUAUAUUAUUUUCCCUUAACCUGUUCUCUUCCUUGGUCUAGCUCGGUCAUAUAUAUGUCUAGAUUUGCAAUUGCUGAUUUGUUGUAAAUAAUCUUCGUCCAAAUGUGCUUGUUCUUAUGCUUCCUUCAUUGUUUCUUGAUCUAUGGAAGUCAAUGCCCUGUUCACAAAAAUAAUGCUCUAUUUAUUUCAUGAUUAAGUCCCAAAUUUAAGAAGACUCUGAUAAGAUACGAAAAUCAUGAUCAUUUGUAUUUCAGUUCAAAAUUUCCCUGUUUCAAGAUAUCCAUGUAUGUAGAAUCAAUAUCAGUUCCUCAUAUAAAUGAAAUGUAUUAACUAAGAUGAUGAUGAGAAAUCAACUUAUAUACUUGGAACAUUGGCUUACUGAUUGUCAUAUAAACUAACUAUUGUCUCAAGGCAUUUAUGUUUUGUUCAUUUCAUACAUAUAAAAAUUUCAUAAAAAUGCAAAACAUCAAAGAAAGCUUAGCUCAAGAAUCUUAGACCUGUUCAUAAGAAUACUGAAGAUAAACUAGUAAGUACUCUUUACUUUCCACUUCUUAGAAGUGAUGUCUUCAUAUGGAUGCUAGUAAGCUGAAUUAUUUAUUUUGAGUUGGAAUUUGAUAGAGUAAAGGUGGAGAUGACGCUAACAAUAUAAUUUACUGAACGAGAGGAACUCCUCCACAACGGAGGCCUACAGCAAACACGCUGUUUACAAACUUAAUCCCAGCAUAAACCCUACUGCUACGAUACUCACUAUAAAUAAUAGAAAAGGAAACCCUAACUUACUAAGCCCAUGCAACAUACUGGACGGGCUUAAGGACUCAUAAUAAUUAUUGACCCAAACAUAAUAAAUGACUUAACAAGAUAAGAAGAAAUAAAGAUAAACUUAAUCAGCCAAGGUAUAUCAAUAGCCUCCCCGGGCAAAACAGCCUUGUCCUCAAGGCUGGAGUAUGGACCGGAAAUAAGAUGCCUCAACAGGCGCAUGCUGGUGUAGUGCAUCGAACUCGGGCUCCCCCAAUUCAUCACACACAAGGACGUUCAACGUCUUAGGCGGGCAGCGGUGAAGGGGUCCGAAAGUCAGACCGCAACGGAAGCAGGUACCAGCGGCAAGAUGUUUUUGAAUCUCUGAUUGCGGCAGUUGGCGAAAGUUUUUGGCCUUGCUUAAAGGUAGUGAGGCGGCAGAAACCGUGGAGUCGGAAGAGUAGGUAGCUGUGGCUGUUGGUUGGCCGGCUGUGAGAGGGGUAACACGGUGGGAAAACAUGGUAGGGGUACUAGGACGGGCAGCACGGCGCGCUGCGCUGACCGCAGAGGUGUAGUCAGUGAGAGCGUUGUCCUGUAUCUGCUCUCGCACCGAACGCUGGAGACCACGGAGGAAAUAUCCUAAUCACUGGUCAUCCGAAAGGGGAGGCAGCUGGGCCAUGCGGCUUUCGAAAGCAGCGAUGUAAUCCUCCAGAGAUCCUGUUUGAUGUAAUAGAAACAAGGCCUCGUAGGUGUUGAGCGUGGAGGCAUCGCCGAAACGCGCCAAUAAGGCUUGGGUGAAUUGUGGCCAUGCCGGGUUGGGGUUACGACGCAGGAGUAGUUGUAACCAGGAUAUAGCUGCGCCAGACAUGCCGAUAAUAGCAAGCUGCAGCUUCAUGGCCGGGGGAAUGCGAUGAACGAGAAAAUAUUGGUUGGCUCGAGCAAUCCAGCCCACGGGAUCAGAUCCAUCGAACCCGGGUAAGUCAGAUUUUUGAAUCGGAAUAGUGGUGGGGUUGGUGUUGUCGGGAACGAACGGCUGUUUCCCAGUGGAAGAGUCGCCGGGAUCAUCUGGAACGAAGGGUUGUUUUCCAGUGGAAGACACGGCGGCCAAGAUGGCUGCAAGUUGAGUUUCCAUGGCAGAACGGUUAGCGUCGACUGCUUUGGUAAGGGAGGUUAGCGAUGUCUGCAACUCUAACACCACCUUCUCUAAAUAAUCCAGUCGAGACUCGGUGCUGCGCGUCGUAGCAACCAUGGCAGAUCGGACCAAUUGAUAGAGUAAAGGUGGAGAUGACGCUAACAAUAUAAUUUACUGAACGAGAGGAACUCCUCGACAACGGAGGCCUACAACAAACACGCUGUUUACAAACUUAAUCCCAGCAUAAACCCUACUGCUACGAUACUCACUAUAAAUAAUAGAAAAGGAAACCCUAACUUACUAAGCCCAUGCAACAUACUGGACGGGCUUAAGGACUCAUAAUAAUUAUUGACCCAAACAUAAUAAAUGACUUAACAAGAUAAGAAGAAAUAAAGAUAAACUUAAUCAGCCAAGGUAUAUCAGAAUUUCUCGUACAAUUAUUGAUGAUAUUUUAAUAUAAGUACAUUAUGAUAUUGUUUUGAGUUUGUAAUUUGUUUUCUUUUGUUUUGUGUUUUGUAAAUAGACUCUUUUAAAGGAGUUGAAGCAAAAGUUGCUUGAAAAUUUGCGGGACGAUAUUGAUGCUAAUAAUGAGAUCUAUAAAGAUGUUAUUGGAAAGGAAGCACCAGGAUGUUUACGCAGUAGUAGUGUUGCUGCAAAGAUUGUCAUUUGCACUUCGCAAGAAGAAUUUGAUAAAAUUGUGCACGAGAAAUCUAACAACAUAGUGGCAAGUAUUCAAAAGGGAUUUGAAGAGGAAAUUUCAAAAUUCAAAGAUGAUUAUUUUUCGCAAAUGGAGAUGCUUCAGGCUCGACUACUAACAUUAGAGGAUCACAAUGUCACUGUAAGUUGACAUUAUAUACCUAAUUUACUUUAUAAGAUAUUUUAUAACUUAUACUUUUUAUUAUAUAUGCAAGGUAUCUGGAUCAUUCAAUCCCAGCGCAUUCAAGCUCCCAAUGGAGGGUCAUCAUCUUACGAAUUUAUGAACAUGAACUUGGAGAAUUUGAGUGAAGCAACUGAAAAUGUUGAGGUAAAUGAUCAAAAUUUUAAUAAUAUUUCAAAGUACAUUAAAUUUUACAAUUUUUGUGAUAUUAAUACCAUCUUCAACCAAUUUAUAAGAUGAGAGAAGAGAUAAAUAACUUGGAUGGGAACAAUAUGGACAUUUGUUUAGACGAUGCACCCCUGCAAGUAUUAUUAUCGAUUAUACUUUUUAAAUAAUAUAUUAGUACAUGUAUGAAAUAUAAAUUUGUUAACAUUUUGUAGGAACAAGGGGAAAAGUACCACAAGAAAGAGCAAGGGGAAGUCAAAUGGUCGUUGAACGUCACAUUUUCACUUAUAGGAUUACAUUUUUGCAUAGCUAGAUAUAUUUAGACUUUGAUAUUUGAUGUCAGGUUUUU
Molecule: long non-coding RNA, 3840 nt
Filed under: Salvia miltiorrhiza (redroot sage)
Lineage: Eukaryota; Viridiplantae; Streptophyta; Magnoliopsida; Lamiales; Lamiaceae
Description: long non-coding RNA (SMIL_LNC002307)
Source: RNAcentral